AUACAUGCAGUCGAGCGGACAGAAGGGAGCUUGCUCCCGGAUGUUAGCGGCGGACGGGUGAGUAACACGUGGGUAACCUGCCUGUAAGACUGGGAUAACUCCGGGAAACCGGAGCUAAUACCGGAUAGUUCCUUGAACCGCAUGGUUCAAGGAUGAAAGACGGUUUCGGCUGUCACUUACAGAUGGACCCGCGGCGCAUUAGCUAGUUGGUGAGGUAACGGCUCACCAAGGCGACGAUGCGUAGCCGACCUGAGAGGGUGAUCGGCCACACUGGGACUGAGACACGGCCCAGACUCCUACGGGAGGCAGCAGUAGGGAAUCUUCCGCAAUGGACGAAAGUCUGACGGAGCAACGCCGCGUGAGUGAUGAAGGUUUUCGGAUCGUAAAGCUCUGUUGUUAGGGAAGAACAAGUGCAAGAGUAACUGCUUGCACCUUGACGGUACCUAACCAGAAAGCCACGGCUAACUACGUGCCAGCAGCCGCGGUAAUACGUAGGUGGCAAGCGUUGUCCGGAAUUAUUGGGCGUAAAGGGCUCGCAGGCGGUUUCUUAAGUCUGAUGUGAAAGCCCCCGGCUCAACCGGGGAGGGUCAUUGGAAACUGGGAAACUUGAGUGCAGAAGAGGAGAGUGGAAUUCCACGUGUAGCGGUGAAAUGCGUAGAGAUGUGGAGGAACACCAGUGGCGAAGGCGACUCUCUGGUCUGUAACUGACGCUGAG
RNAcentral lists this ribosomal RNA (715 nucleotides) under Bacillus aerophilus. RNAcentral's name for it is "bacterial SSU rRNA". It matches the Rfam family "Bacterial small subunit ribosomal RNA", at positions 51 to 750 of the family's 1533-position model. The record is from RNAcentral. Lineage: Bacteria; Bacillati; Bacillota; Bacilli; Caryophanales; Bacillaceae.